AUCUGAGCAGCCUCAGCCCUGCAGGCUGGAUUCACUUUCUGCAGACUCAGCGGCCCCAGGGUGGAGAGGCAGUGAGUCGGGGAUACGAUGGCGGAAGGGGAGGCGACCUCCCUCUGGGAUUCGAAUCCAGCCCUCCCACCUGGCAGUCAUGGGACCUCCCUAAGCGGUUUAACUGCCAAGUCCCAGAUCCCAUCUGUGAAGCCAGCCCUCCGACCAUGGCCUCUCGCAGGACCCCUGGGAAUCACCCUCAUCUGUCACUGUUUCCCCACCGGGACCCACCACCGAGGCUACCAGGGAAAAGCCACAGGAUUUGUUUGCAUCUGGGGAGGCAGCUCCACCUUCCUGGCAUGAAUGGUCACUAAUGAUUGGACUUUGUCAGCCUGCAAGGCAGGAAGGAGAUUUACUCUCCACAGACUGGACAGUCCUUAGCUUUGUGCUUGCCACAUAAAUGGCAUUUAAUACAUGCUCCCUGGACUCAGCACCACUCCUGAAGGCCUGUAUUGUGGUCAGCAGUUAUCAUUUCUUCCACAAAUGAGCUCAUUCUUCUCCUCUCAGGAUCAACCCUUUCGCCUUCACUGAGGCAUCAGACACCAGCAUUCGGAGGGACACCCACUCCAUCCUCUUCUCUCAGCUGCCUGUGGAAAUUCCCAUCUCAAACACGUGACUCCCCACAGAGUGGCACUCACUGAUCACGGAUCUUAACUUUAAAAGGUGAAAAAUAAGUCAAGGCUUAAGGUAAAGUAACGGGAGGUGUGGAUGUCUGAGCAAUGCGGUGAACCGAGUCACGGGGCCGCGGAGAUGUUCGCAGCUGGGACUUUCCAGGCCUCCCGAACGCAGAGCGCCCGAAGCCAUCAGUGGCCACAGAGUGUGUUUCAGGUGUGAUUUGGGGUCAUUUAUGCCAAUUUUAUUCUUCUUUUAUUUCCAUCUGGUUUUCUUUCUAUAAAUUGCAUACGUCAUGCAUGCUACGUUUUAUAGUCAUCCGUGUGACAUCCGUCUCGCACAGUGAGUUAAGGAGGACGUUCCGCUACAGCUGUACUUUUUACUCAGCAAAAUAAAAAAAGAAUAAAGAUGAGCUUGAAACUCC
Molecule: long non-coding RNA, 1084 nt
Organism: Homo sapiens (human)
Lineage: Eukaryota; Metazoa; Chordata; Mammalia; Primates; Hominidae
Exons: 3
Source: RefSeq, a predicted model, not a curated record